UUUGAAGAAGCCAUUGAAAUAGCAAACUUUUGAGUCAAGAAAAUUCUUCUUCAGCCCUUCCUUCUGAGAAGACAUAGUGAAAAUAAAAUAAAAUUCCAGUACUGUGGCUUCCUUCGUGGGUGAGCUUUCUCUCACAUCACUCGCUCUGAGGUGCUGAAUGAAUAAUAGGAAUCAGGGAAGAAUGAGGAAAAAAUACAUGAAUUUCAAAAAAUGUUUCUGGAAAUUACCAUCAUGCAAUUAUGAUCUUAACACUACAUAAAAUAAUGGAAUAAAUAUUUUAAAAGAAAAAUAUGUAGCCUCUAAAGGAUGAAGGAAUUCGGACUAAUCAACAACAGUGAUGAAUUAUAAAUAGUGGACCUUGCCAGAUUGGUGUUCACCAUCUCCCAAUGAAUUCCCCAAUAGGCAAGUAGCUUUGCCUGGUUUUGAACUUUAUCUGCAUAGAAUCAUAAUGUAUAUGUUAUUUUGUAUUGACCUCUCU
Molecule: long non-coding RNA, 478 nt
Organism: Suricata suricatta (meerkat)
Lineage: Eukaryota; Metazoa; Chordata; Mammalia; Carnivora; Herpestidae
Exons: 4
Source: RefSeq, a predicted model, not a curated record